Molecule: non-coding RNA, 1038 nt
Organism: Monodelphis domestica (gray short-tailed opossum)
Lineage: Eukaryota; Metazoa; Chordata; Mammalia; Didelphimorphia; Didelphidae
Source: RefSeq, a predicted model, not a curated record
CCAAGGGCAGAGGAGCGAAAGAAUGACCUGAAAGAUGGGACGGAAGAGAGAACACUACUUUGUCAGCCUGGUGCCUGAAGGUCCCAUUCCACAGCCAUUGCACUGAAAUAAAGAGCAACUCUGGGCAGGGUUUCUCCUUCCUGCGGGGAUUGGAAGGAGCUGCACUAAGUGUGAGAAAGAGCGGCAUUUGCUUGGAAAUUUGUCUACACACUGUGCAAAGAAAGCUUUACUUAGUAUCAACUCUGGAGAUUGCUUCACAGAGCUAAGGCAGUAGUCGACAUGGCUUGAAUUUUGAAACUCUGAUUCAGGAAUGAAAAUCUGAAACCAAGUUAUCUGCUUUUAUAUACUCUGGCACCAGCCUGCUUAAAAUAAUCCAAGAAUGAAAAUGUGAGCUAAGCUGUUUGUUUUUAUAAACACUGAGCGUGUCUACCCUGAAAUUCCAUUCAACAGUCAUUUACUCUGCAUGAACCACAAAUCAUUUUGACCUUGAAUAUUCAGAUUUUUGAUAAUUCAAUAACUAUAUAUGUUCCAUAUUUAAUAUUUAUUAUACAAAAGAAUGACUUCAAACUGAUAGGAAAUGAACCAUAUCACAUUUUUAAAAAUGUCUAUCAACAUCAAAAUUCACAUAGAACAGAAAAGAAGUUUCAAAAGAUAUUUUGGUCAUAUCCAUUGACAGUCUUAAAGAUAACAAUAUUUGAAUUUUUAUCAUGUUUCUAUCAUAAAAUAGAGAAUUAUAACCCUAACCCUAAAUUGGAAAACAUUUUAGAUGCCAUCUGGUUCAAUAUCCAGCCUAGGAAUUCCUUCCAUAUCAUUCCUGACUGGAGGAUAUCUAGUAUUUGCUUCAAGACUUCUAGUGAUAGUUAACUUCAUGGGAUCUCAUUCCACAUUUGAGCAGCUCCAGUUUGGUUGUUCAUUAUUAUGUUCAACUGAAACAAUAUUCUGCAUAACUUCCACUGAUUUGUCCUAUUUCUGACUUCUGAAAUUACCCAGGAAAGAAAUCAACACCUCUUCCACCUGACAGCACUUCAAAUAAAUACC